RNAcentral lists this ribosomal RNA (468 nucleotides) under uncultured bacterium. Its description in RNAcentral is "partial 16S ribosomal RNA". It matches the Rfam family "Bacterial small subunit ribosomal RNA", at positions 28 to 507 of the family's 1533-position model. The record is from RNAcentral.
GACGAACGCUGGCGGCGUGCUUAACACAUGCAAGUCGAACGGAAAGGCCCUGCUUUUGUGGGGUGCUCUAGUGGCGAACGGGUGAGUAACACGUGAGUAACCUGCCCUUGACUUUGGGAUAACUUCAGGAAACUGGGGCUAAUACCGGAUAGGAGCUCCUGCUGCAUGGUCGGGGUUGGAAAGUUUCGGCGGUUGGGGAUGGACUCGCGGCUUAUCAGCUUGUUGGUGGGGUAGUGGCUUACCAAGGCUUUGACGGGUAGCCGGCCUGAGAGGGUGACCGGCCACAUUGGGACUGAGAUACGGCCCAGACUCCUACGGGAGGCAGCAGUGGGGAAUAUUGCACAAUGGGCGGAAGCCUGAUGCAGCAACGCCGCGUGCGGGAUGACGGCCUUCGGGUUGUAAACCGCUUUCGCCUGUGACGAAGCGUGAGUGACGGUAAUGGGUAAAGAAGCACCGGCUAACUACGUG